This 484-nucleotide ribosomal RNA is filed under the name uncultured bacterium. RNAcentral's name for it is "partial 16S ribosomal RNA". It matches the Rfam family "Bacterial small subunit ribosomal RNA", at positions 30 to 507 of the family's 1533-position model. The record is from RNAcentral.
AUUGAACGCUGGCGGCAGGCCUAACACAUGCAAGUCGAGCGGAUGAAGGGAGCUUGCUCCUGGAUUCAGCGGCGGACGGGUGAGUAAUGCCUAGGAAUCUGCCUGGUAGUGGGGGAUAACGUCCGGAAACGGGCGCUAAUACCGCAUACGUCCUGAGGGAGAAAGUGGGGGAUCUUCGGACCUCACGCUAUCAGAUGAGCCUAGGUCGGAUUAGCUAGUUGGUGGGGUAAAGGCCUACCAAGGCGACGAUCCGUAACUGGUCUGAGAGGAUGAUCAGUCACACUGGAACUGAGACACGGUCCAGACUCCUACGGGAGGCAGCAGUGGGGAAUAUUGGACAAUGGGCGAAAGCCUGAUCCAGCCAUGCCGCGUGUGUGAAGAAGGUCUUCGGAUUGUAAAGCGCUUUAAGUUGGGAGGAAGGGCAGUAAGUUAAUACCUUGCUGUUUUGACGUUACCAACAGAAUAAGCACCGGCUAACUUCAUG